This 405-nucleotide ribosomal RNA is filed under the name uncultured Diversispora. Its description in RNAcentral is "SSU rRNA". It matches the Rfam family "Eukaryotic small subunit ribosomal RNA", at positions 569 to 976 of the family's 1831-position model. The record is from RNAcentral. Lineage: Eukaryota; Fungi; Glomeromycota; Glomeromycetes; Diversisporales; Diversisporaceae.
AGCAGCCGCGGUAAUUCCAGCUCCAAUAGCGUAUAUUAAAGUUGUUGCAGUUAAAAAGCUCGUAGUUGAACCUCGGGGUCUACCCAUUGGUCAGGCUUAAUUGUCUGCACUGGUGAGGUGGAUCUCUACCUUCUGAGGAACUUUCAUGCCAUUUAUUUGGUGUAAUGGGAAAUCAGGACUGUUACUUUGAAAAAAUUAGAGUGUUUAAAGCAGACUAUCGUCUGAAUACAUUAGCAUGGAAUAAUGAAAUAGGACGGACUGAUUCUAUUUCGUUGGUUUCUAGGAUCAUCGUAAUGAUUAAUAGGGAUAGUUGGGGGCAUUAGUAUUCAAUUGUCAGAGGUGAAAUUCUUGGAUUUAUUGAAGACUAACUACUGCGAAAGCAUUUGCCAAGGAUGUUUUCAUUAA